RNAcentral lists this ribosomal RNA (474 nucleotides) under uncultured bacterium. RNAcentral describes it as "bacterial SSU rRNA". It matches the Rfam family "Bacterial small subunit ribosomal RNA", at positions 355 to 825 of the family's 1533-position model. The record is from RNAcentral.
UGGGGAAUUGUUCGCAAUGGGCGCAAGCCUGACGACGCAACGCCGCGUGGAGGAUGAAGAUCUUCGGGUCGUAAACUCCUUUCGAUCGAGACGAAUGGCCUUCGGGUGAACAGCCUGGAGGAAUGACGGUACCGAGAGAAGAAGCCCCGGCUAACUUCGUGCCAGCAGCCGCGGUAAUACGAAGGGGGCUAGCGUUGUUCGGAAUUACUGGGCGUAAAGCGCGCGUAGGCGGUUUUGCAAGCCAGAGGUGAAAUGCCUGAGCUCAACUUAGGAAUUGCCUUUGGGACUGCGAGGCUUUGAGGACGAGAGAGGUGAGUGGAAUUCCCAGUGUAGAGGUGAAAUUCGUAGAUAUUGGGAAGAACACCGGUGGCGAAGGCGGCUCACUGGCUCGUUUCUGACGCUGUAGCGCGAAAGCGUGGGGAUCAAACAGGAUUAGAUACCCGCGUAGUCCCUGAGCGGGCUGGCAAGGCGCAU